RNAcentral lists this ribosomal RNA (170 nucleotides) under uncultured bacterium. RNAcentral describes it as "partial 16S ribosomal RNA". It matches the Rfam family "Bacterial small subunit ribosomal RNA", at positions 338 to 525 of the family's 1533-position model. The record is from RNAcentral.
UCUACGGGAGGCAGCAGUGGGGAAUAUUGGACAAUGGGGGAAAGCCUGAUCCAGCAAUGCCGCGUGAGUGAUGAAGGCCUUAGGGUUGUAAAGCUUUUUUACCCGGGAUGAUAAUGACAGUACCGGGAGAAUAAGCUCCGGCUAACUCCGUGCCAGCAGCCGCGGUAAUA